This 465-nucleotide ribosomal RNA is filed under the name uncultured Klebsiella sp. RNAcentral's name for it is "bacterial SSU rRNA". It matches the Rfam family "Bacterial small subunit ribosomal RNA", at positions 338 to 795 of the family's 1533-position model. The record is from RNAcentral. Lineage: Bacteria; Pseudomonadati; Pseudomonadota; Gammaproteobacteria; Enterobacterales; Enterobacteriaceae.
CCUACGGGGGGCAGCAGUGGGGAAUAUUGCACAAUGGGCGCAAGCCUGAUGCAGCCAUGCCGCGUGUGUGAAGAAGGCCUUCGGGUUGUAAAGCACUUUCAGCGGGGAGGAAGGCGGUGAGGUUAAUAACCUCAUCGAUUGACGUUACCCGCAGAAGAAGCACCGGCUAACCCCGUGCCAGCAGCCGCGGUAAUACGGAGGGUGCAAGCGUUAAUCGGAAUUACUGGGCGUAAAGCGCACGCAGGCGGUCUGUCAAGUCGGAUGUGAAAUCCCCGGGCUCAACCUGGGAACUGCAUUCGAAACUGGCAGGCUAGAGUCUUGUAGAGGGGGGUAGAAUUCCAGGUGUAGCGGUGAAAUGCGUAGAGAUCUGGAGGAAUACCGGUGGCGAAGGCGGCCCCCUGGACAAAGACUGACGCUCAGGUGCGAAAGCGUGGGGAGCAAACAGGAUUAGAUACCCCUGUAGUC